Molecule: long non-coding RNA, 3731 nt
Organism: Tyto alba (common barn owl)
Lineage: Eukaryota; Metazoa; Chordata; Aves; Strigiformes; Tytonidae
Exons: 8
Source: RefSeq, a predicted model, not a curated record
AAGAAGGGGAGAAAAUGGAGGAGGCUACACAAACAAAAACUUGCAGUGUUUGAAGGUGUUAAACUGGAUUCAUAAUGAGAAGAAUAAAUUAAUUAAGCAACACAUCAGUCAUAAAAACAACUCAAAAAGACUCAAGAUGAGGACCAGGCAAUACUGUGAUUUUCAUCUUUGACGAACCAUCAUUCAAGAACGUCUGAGGCCAGAGAUUACCCGGGACAUGGAUUAUUAGACAUACCCUGUAAUGUCUUGGCAUGGAGUCUGACCCAGCCAUACUGGAGGUGAAGAGAAGCUUGAUCUGUUUCUCUCUGUGCAAAACUUGGAAAUGGCAGUGGAGCACCUACACAGGUGCCACCUGCAUGACGCUGUAUUGUGCUGCUCUUCACCAUCUUGGGCUUGGCAGCUCCACCAGCUCAGGAGUGAACCCGCUACAUGCUGCACAUUCUGAUCCCUUCAAGUGUCCUAUCUAACUUCACACGUUUAACCAGAGCACCCAGCUUGACCAUCAACAAAUGAGCUGGAAAUUCCUCAAGGGAAGGAAGAUCUCUCUCCUGCUACCUGGGAGUUUGUUCAUCGUUUCUGAUGGAUAAUGGGGAAGGAUCUCCUGAUCUGUAGCUGUCCAGGGAAUCCCUUUUCUAGAGGAAUUUUUGAGCACAUGGCUGCUCUGUCAAGUGGGAACUACUCCCAUCUCCAGUCUGCCAUCCAUUACUAAACAAUGCCUGCCAAUUACUUUUUGUGCCAGUGAAACGUUUAUGUGACAACUGGAAAAAAAACCCUUUCUGUGUACCAGUGUUGGAAUGUGAUGUCCCGUUCUCUGUGGAGAUUAGCUCACGUUGCCUUAUUUCUGGAUGACAGCCAUGUGAAAGAGCUGCAGACGUUACAAGGGGAUGCAGUUUUUAAUUAAAAAUUAUGAUCUGCUCUUAUCCCAUUAUAAUGCAAAUUGAAUUUGCAAAUUUUUGCAGAGUACCUAUGUUUAGGAAGCAGUAUUUUCACUGCAGUAUUUCUUGGACCUGCUAUGAUUAGUAAAUACUGGAUUGCAUAGAUGGUCACCCAGAUUAAAGACAUUGGGAUCACAUGAGGGAAAAUUCACUGAACCUGCUUCAUAUAACACUCAGACACCUCACUCCAUGUACAGAGAGAUUUUACCAUCCAAACCAAAGGCACGGACAUGUACUAGUUAUGACCCAUUUAGCUGUUCUCUGGAGGAUUUUGUGUCUGCAUCAAAAAAAGAAGAGCAGAGAAGCUGAGAGUGAGGAAAUAGUCCGAACUGGAGACAAAUGAAGUGUGGAAAGCUGAGGGCUGGAGGGCUGAGUCCUGGCUGAAGCUGACCCAGAGCUGUGCAAAUGAAACCAUCUCCUGCAGCUUGGCUCCUCCUGGACCUGGGAAACAGGACCUUUGUAGGCCUUGCAGCAGUGAUGGAGACUCAGGUCCUAUUCAAGAUAGUGCAACUAACCUGAUUUAAGUAACAGACCUACUGUAACUAUAACACCACCUUGGAUAACGCCUGUAGGUCCAAUGCUGAUACGCUAUGCCUAUUACUGAUUUGGAAAGAGCAAACUCGGUAUUCUCCAUCUGACCUGAGGAAAUACCAAAAUAUGCUUUAGUGUGGAAGAAAAGAUUCUGACUAAUUAUAAAAUUUGAAAUACAGGCAGAAUCAUGUUUGCCUAGCUCAUCUUGACAGUCCUUUUUUGCUGGUUCUUUUUUCAUAUGGGGUGCUGCUGGGUGUGAGCUGCAUGUAACAACCAGGUGGGGUAGUCUGGAUAAUGAUUAAACAGCAAAUCAGCACAUUGCUGCUUACUGAGAUUUCAAUGCUAAAUGAUUUGGCAAAGCCAAAUUUCAUGAAUCUCAAGCCAAGUUCCUAAGAUCUUGUUGGCAAGAAAAGAGGCUAAUACAUCCAUCAGUUAUAAAAGGUGGCUGUGAAGAAUUUGUCCAUGCCCUCGCACUGGUGAGAAAUUUCCAUAUGCAGUGCAUAGUAGUCGAUGUCAUUAUAUCACAUAGGCUGUAACCAAAAUUAGUGGCAGAGCUUGUUUUUAUUAAGAGUGUUCUACCAUUAAUAGAAUAUAAAUAUGACUAAGUGUAAUGGCUUAAAUCCCUGACAGCCUCAGCUUUGCCAGCAGUGGAUUUCCAAGCAUGUUCUGCUGGGAAUUUGGAACACUGGCUGAGCACAGAUCAUUUAACAUGCCGCAGACGGUGCCUCAAGAUUUCCUGUGCACACGUGCGCAAAGGAGUGAUGUUUGGGAAAAGCUUAAUUUUUUCUACCUUCCUGGAGACACUAGUGGAAGAUGAAUUCUGCCUGUUGUACUCAGGGUGUCAAGCACUUUGCAGAGGUCCCAUAAAGGCACCUCAUCACCUCUGCCAUAACACCUCAUAGCCUUUUGUUUGCUCUUCUCUUUUUAUGGUCCUGUAGGUAAAAGGGUUCAUCUUAUUUAAAUAUCCCUGAGGCCACUAGCAAGAAACUAUUGAACUGCAUAAAAAAAAACUUGAAUACAAAAACAGAUGCAUGUGCUAGCAUUGGGGAUAAAUGUGUUAUGAUACAGGGCAAAACUCUUCUCCAGCUCUGUUGAACAACAAUGCAAAGCAGUCCCCAUGCAGCCAGAUUUCUGAAUUGAUGCCAGGCUGAAGGAGAGCAGCAUUUGUCCUAGGAUUAUCAUCAGGCUCCUUGCAAGCCCAUUUUCACUUAUUCCAUGUGGAUGGGGACUUGUUGACAAUUCCCUGAAUUUCAAUUUGGAAGAAAGAGUGUCAUGUUUGACCUUGUAUCUCCAACACCAUGUGUCUGCCUGCCUCGCCCACAUACUCUGUAUUGAUCCUGUUCCCUUUCAUUUAAGUUACAUAUGAUGUAAGCUAUAGUAGCAACACCUGCUCUUUUUUCUGUUUUGUUUUUGGCUUAGAGCAUUAUCAAGCAGUCCAUGGUUUUAGUUUCUGCAUUUGCUUCACUGCUUUCAUAAAACUGUCUUGGCAAAUUUGGAUGACCGAUAAGGGGUGAAACUUCUCUCACCCUCAGCUGCUCUGCUCUGAAUUUUUUAAAUCCCUUUGGACUGAACAAAUGCAGAAGAUAUUAUUGACAAUUUUCAACUAGUUCAAAGAUUUUUCAUACAUUAAUACUCAGAAAGGCAGAGUUUUAUCUGAACCUAAUACAAAUGCUCUGAAAACUUCUGAAGGCAUCACAAAUAUGAAAAUACCUUUCUUACUUUCUCUAGGAGGUGGGGACAACUCCUGGCAGUGACAAUAGCAUUUCUUACAAUAAAUGAAUGUGUGCAUUCUCCAGUCACUGGUAGAAGACAUCCUAGGGCUAAUUAUACUGAUAUCCAUUUAGUAUUGAAAGUACCUACUCAUAGUGACAGAAGCCACAUGUGGGCCACACAUGGGUGGUGUACAGUACCCAGCUGAAGCAGUGGGUGCCCCUAAAUAUGUUGGUUGUAAAACUUCCGUGAUCUAAAAAAUCAUUUAAAAAUUGAUCAUCUCUAAUUUUGAGAUUAUAGUCCUCAAAGUCAGAGAAGGAUUAAAAGUGAGAGAAACAAAGACAUUACCAAGGAAUAGCUGGGUAGUAAGUUCCCCUGGAAGGCAUUAGGAGUGACAGACACUCAAGUCUAAAAACUGAUACCUGAGAAAGGCAGCAUAUAGAGGGGAAUGAGGGGCUACCUUGACAAGAAGUAACCUGGCAAGUUUUAACUCUGCUCUGAUUUGCUUUUUAUUUUCCAUCAUGUUUGAGACCUUCCCCCCACCCCCCACCCCCC